RNAcentral lists this ribosomal RNA (253 nucleotides) under uncultured bacterium. RNAcentral describes it as "partial 16S ribosomal RNA". It matches the Rfam family "Bacterial small subunit ribosomal RNA", at positions 524 to 776 of the family's 1533-position model. The record is from RNAcentral.
UACGUAGGUGGCGAGCGUUGUCCGGAAUCAUUGGGCGUAAAGAGCGCGUAGGCGGCUUGUCAGGUCCGAUGUGAAAUCUCGGGGCUCAACCCCGAAAGUGCAUCGGAAACCGGCUUGCUAGAGUUUGGGAGAGGAGAGUGGAAUUCCUGGUGUAGCGGUGAAAUGCGCAGAUAUCAGGAGGAACACCGGUAGCGAAGGCGGCUCUCUGGAACAAUACUGACGCUGAGGCGCGAAAGCUAGGGGAGCAAACAGG